This 498-nucleotide ribosomal RNA is filed under the name uncultured bacterium. RNAcentral's name for it is "partial 16S ribosomal RNA". It matches the Rfam family "Bacterial small subunit ribosomal RNA", at positions 28 to 523 of the family's 1533-position model. The record is from RNAcentral.
GAUGAACGCUAGCGGCAGGCCUAAUACAUGCAAGUCGAGGGAGAAUGUUGGAUUCGUCUGACAUGAAACCGGCGCACGGGUGCGUAACACGUAUGCAACCUACCUCUAACUGGGGUAUAGCUCAGAGAAAUCUGAAUUAAUCCCCCAUAAGACUACGACAUGGCAUCAUGAUGUAGUUAAAGCUCCGGCGGUUAAGGAUGGGCAUGCGGUACAUUAGCUAGUUGGUGAGGUAAUGGCUCACCAAGGCUACGAUGUAUAGGGGGUCUGAGGGGAUGAUCCACCACAAUGGUACUGAGACACGGACCAGACUCCUACGGGAGGCAGCAGUAGGGAAUAUUGGUCAAUGGACGCAAGUCUGAACCAGCCAUGCCGCGUGAAGGAUGAAGGCCCUAUGGGUCGUAAACUUCUUUUAUUAGGGAAGAAAAAACGGGAUGCGUCCUGUACUGACGGUACUUAAUGAAUAAGGAUCGGCUAACUUCGUGCCAGCCGCCGCCGUAA